This 316-nucleotide unclassified non-coding RNA is filed under the name plant metagenome. RNAcentral describes it as "partial contains 5.8S ribosomal RNA, internal transcribed spacer 2, and large subunit ribosomal RNA". The stretch from base 1 to 105 matches the Rfam family "5.8S ribosomal RNA", at positions 50 to 154 of the family's 154-position model. The record is from RNAcentral.
GAAAUGCGAUAACUAGUGUGAAUUGCAGAAUUCCGUGAAUCAUCGAGUCUUUGAACGCACAUUGCGCCCCCUGGUAUUCCGGGGGGCAUGCCUGUCCGAGCGUCAUUGCUGCCCAUCAAGCACGGCUUGUGUGUUGGGUCGUCGUCCCCUCUCCGGGGGGGACGGGCCCCAAAGGCAGCGGCGGCACCGCGCCCGAUCCUCGAGCGUAUGGGGCUUUGUCACCCGCUCUGUAGGCCCGGCCGGCGCUUGCCGAACGCAAAUCAAUCUUUUUCCAGGUUGACCUCGGAUCAGGUAGGGAUACCCGCUGAACUUAAGC